AAACAGCUUGCUGUUUCGCUGACGAGUGGCGGACGGGUGAGUAAUGUCUGGGAAACUGCCUGAUGGAGGGGGAUAACUACUGGAAACGGUAGCUAAUACCGCAUAACGUCGCAAGACCAAAGAGGGGGACCUUCGGGCCUCUUGCCAUCGGAUGUGCCCAGAUGGGAUUAGCUAGUAGGUGGGGUAACGGCUCACCUAGGCGACGAUCCCUAGCUGGUCUGAGAGGAUGACCAGCCACACUGGAACUGAGACACGGUCCAGACUCCUACGGGAGGCAGCAGUGGGGAAUAUUGCACAAUGGGCGCAAGCCUGAUGCAGCCAUGCCGCGUGUAUGAAGAAGGCCUUCGGGUUGUAAAGUACUUUCAGCGGGGAGGAAGGGAGUAAAGUUAAUACCUUUGCUCAUUGACGUUACCCGCAGAAGAAGCACCGGCUAACUCCGUGCCAGCAGCCGCGGUAAUACGGAGGGUGCAAGCGUUAAUCGGAAUUACUGGGCGUAAAGCGCACGCAGGCGGUUUGUUAAGUCAGAUGUGAAAUCCCCGGGCUCAACCUGGGAACUGCAUCUGAUACUGGCAAGCUUGAGUCUCGUAGAGGGGGGUAGAAUUCCAGGUGUAGCGGUGAAAUGCGUAGAGAUCUGGAGGA
Molecule: ribosomal RNA, 639 nt
Filed under: Escherichia coli
Lineage: Bacteria; Pseudomonadati; Pseudomonadota; Gammaproteobacteria; Enterobacterales; Enterobacteriaceae
Description: bacterial SSU rRNA
Rfam family: Bacterial small subunit ribosomal RNA
Source: RNAcentral